Molecule: ribosomal RNA, 1390 nt
Filed under: human gut metagenome
Description: bacterial LSU rRNA
Rfam family: Bacterial large subunit ribosomal RNA
Source: RNAcentral
UGCUAAGACAGCUAGGAUGUUGGCUUGGAAGCAGCCAUUCAUUUAAAGAGUGCGUAACAGCUCACUAGUCGAGCGGUCCUGCAUGGAUAAUACGCGGGCAUAAGCAUAUAACCGAAGCUAUGGGAUUGUAGAUGAUACAAUCGGUAGGAGAGCAUUCCAUUCAGCAUAGAAGCAGUACCGUGAGGUAUUGUGGAGCGGAUGGAAAAGCAAAUGUAGGCAUAAGUAACGAUAAUGCGGGUGAGAACCCCGCACGCCGAAAGAUCAAGGAUUCCCCGGCAAUGUCAAUCAUCCGGGGGUAAGUCGGAUCCUAAGGGUAAGCCGAGUGGCGAUCCCGAUGGUAAACAGGUUAAUAUUCCUGUACUGAUCAUAACUGCGAUGCAGCGACGCAGAGGUGACACUGCUGCGUACUGACGGAAUAGUACGUUGAAACCCGUAUUCUUUGAUACCGGUAGUGAAGCACGCCGGUAGAGAUGAAAGGUGAUAGUACCGCAAUGCUUCGGUUGCGCGGAUAAUGCAGGUAAGCUGACUGCCAAGAAAACCUGCUAAGCUUCAGGUAAUGAUCAUCCGUACUGUAAACGGACACACGUGAUCAGGUAGAAAAUACUAAGGCGCUCGAGAGAUUCAUGGUUAAGGAACUAGGCAAAAUGGUCCUGUAACUUCGGGAUAAAGGACGCUCUUGUGAAAGAGCCGCAGAUAAUAGGCCCAGGCGACUGUUUACCAAAAACACAUGGCUAUGCUAAUUCGCAAGAAGAUGUAUAUGGCCUGACACCUGCCCGGUGCCGGAAGGUUAAGAGGAGAGCUCAGAGGUAACUCGAAGGUUUGAAUUGAAGCCCCGGUAAACGGCGGCCGUAACAAUAACGGUCCUAAGGUAGCGAAAUUCCUUGUCGGGUAAGUUCCGACCUGCACGAAUGGUGUAAUGAUCUGGACACUGUCUCAACCGUGAGCUCAGUGAAAUUGUAGUAUCGGUGAAGAUGCCGAUUACCCGCGAUGGGACGAAAAGACCCCGUGAACCUUUACUAUAGCUUAACAUUGAAUUUGGGUAAUUGAUGUGUAGGAUAGGCCGGAGGCUUUGAAGCGGGCACGCCAGUGUUCGUGGAGCCGCUGUUGAAAUACGGCCCUUUGAUUAUUUGAGUUCUAACCCGCUGUUGCGGGGACACUGUUUGGUGGGUAGUUUGACUGGGGUGGUCGCCUCCAAAAGCGUAACGGAGGCUUCUAAAGGUGCCCUCAGACCGAUUGGUAACCGGUCGCAGAGUGUAAUGGCAUAAGGGCGCUUGACUGGGAGAGAUACAACUCGAUCAGGUAGGAAACUAGAGCAUAGUGAUCCGGUGGUUCCGCAUGGAAGGGCCAUCGCUCAAAGGAUAAAAGGUACUCCGGGGAUAACAGGCUGAUC